GGUGAUUGAGAUGUUGGGGAAGGAGUGUUUGGAGGUGACGGAAUGUAGGGAGGUUGGGAAAUGGGAGAAGGAGUGGUGGAUGGUGGUGUGGAAAUGUAAGAAGGUGGCUGGGAUAUUGGGGAAGGAGUGGUGGAUGGUGGUGUGGAAAUGUAAGGUGGCUGGGAUAUUGGGGAAGGAGUGGUGUUUGGAGGUGAUGGGAUGUAAGGAGGCUGAGAUAUUGGGGAAGGAGUGUUUGGAGGUGAUGGGGUGUAAGGAG
RNAcentral lists this long non-coding RNA (256 nucleotides) under Phaseolus vulgaris (common bean). RNAcentral describes it as "long non-coding RNA (PVUL_LNC002969)". Lineage: Eukaryota; Viridiplantae; Streptophyta; Magnoliopsida; Fabales; Fabaceae. The record is from RNAcentral.